RNAcentral lists this ribosomal RNA (736 nucleotides) under uncultured Gemmatimonas sp. Its description in RNAcentral is "bacterial SSU rRNA". It matches the Rfam family "Bacterial small subunit ribosomal RNA", at positions 28 to 776 of the family's 1533-position model. The record is from RNAcentral. Lineage: Bacteria; Pseudomonadati; Gemmatimonadota; Gemmatimonadia; Gemmatimonadales; Gemmatimonadaceae.
GACGAACGCUGGCGGCGUGCUUAACACAUGCAAGUCACGGGGGCCCGCAGGGGUAACCGGCGAACGGGUGCGUAACACGUGAACAAUCUGCCUAGAUGUGGGGGAUAGCCGGCCCAACGGCCGGGUAAUACCGCAUACGCUCUUCGGGUGGCAUCACUUGAAGAGGAAACCUCCGGGGCAUCUAGAGGAGUUCGCGGCCUAUCAGCUAGUUGGUGGGGUAACGGCCUACCAAGGCAAUGACGGGUAGCUGGUCUGAGAGGAUGGCCAGCCACAUUGGGACUGAGAUACGGCCCAGACUCCUACGGGAGGCAGCAGUGGGGAAUAUUGCGCAAUGGCCGAAGGGCUGACGCAGCGACGCCGCGUGGGGGAUGAAGCAUUUCGGUGUGUAAACCCCUGUUGCCCGGGACGAACAAGCGAUUUUGAUCGCUCUGACGGUACCGGGUGAGGAAGCACCGGCUAACUCCGUGCCAGCAGCCGCGGUAAUACGGAGGGUGCGAGCGUUGUCCGGAAUCACUGGGCGUAAAGGGCGCGUAGGCGGUCUGCUAAGCGUGUGGUGAAAGCUCGGGGCUCAACCCCGAGUCUGCCAUGCGAACUGGUGGACUAGAGCACUGUAGAGGCAGGUGGAAUUCCGGGUGUAGCGGUGGAAUGCGUAGAGAUCCGGAAGAACACCAGUGGCGAAGGCGGCCUGCUGGGCAGUAGCUGACGCUGAGGCGCGAUAGCGUGGGGAGCAAACAGG